RNAcentral lists this long non-coding RNA (1111 nucleotides) under Bos taurus (domestic cattle). Its description in RNAcentral is "long non-coding RNA NONBTAT001295". The record is from RNAcentral. Lineage: Eukaryota; Metazoa; Chordata; Mammalia; Artiodactyla; Bovidae.
UACAAUCCCAUAAUUUUUUAUGAAGACCAAAUAAGAGAAGAUUAGUCACGUGCUGUUAAAUAUUGUUGCUAGAAGUUGUACUCUUGAGCAAAUUUAGAGAUAAUAGUAACAACAAAGAGCAUAGAAAAUAUAACUGGUUCAAAUAUGCCUAUAUUUCCUUAUAUUGAUUAAGAAUUGGGGUCCAGUUGUAAUUAUAAGUCCUUUUCUGAUGUUAUAUGGUUUUUAGUGCAAAGAAUCAUAUUAAAGAGAACCUAAACAGAUGAUUUAAUAGAGACAUAUUUGAGCUCAGCUCUCAGGGGACUUAGGUGUAAGUGGCUUUAUAAAAAUAAUAGAGUCAGAUACCAAGGAUAACUGUAAAAAUUCCAAAGUCACAGAACACAAAGCACCUACUAGGAAACUCAAAGGAAGACAAAACAAAACAAAGUCAGUGCACUGUUUUUAUAAUCAGUAUACCAUCUGGUAUUUUAUAAUCACAAUGUGAUUUUCAGCGCAUGGAAGUAUAUUAAGUUCUUUAGCCUUCCUGCUCUUGAUUAAAUAGUAAACUUUGAAAUAUAUUAAUAUCAUAAAACCAGAAAAUAAGAGGAAGUGAAAUGGUAAUGUCAAAACUUAUUGAGUUAAUUAUUUUCCUUUUUCGGAGGGAAAAAUCAAUUUUUCUACCCCUGCCCCUUGCCCCCAAUACACACACACAUUUUUUUUUUAAGCAAUGGGAUAAUUUACAAGGACAAUUUUAUCUUAAGAGAGUGACUCAUAUCUGCAAUGAGACUUAUUUUCAUAGAAUAAGCCUAUGACCUAAGACCAUACCUAAGACCAUUGGAGAAAAUGUUUUAAACAAAACACGCUAUAUGAAUUUGCAAAAUGUACAGAACAUUUAUGUACCUAUCAAUCUAGAUCAUUCCAGGAGGGUUAUGUAAACACUAUCCCAUGCCACAAAUCAAAUUUGGAGAGGGAAAAUGAGUGCUGCAUUAGCUAUCUAGAGUUAAAAAGUAUCACAUAAUAAUUUACAUAUUACAUGCAGUAAAAUGUGUGCAUGGCCACAUGCCUAUGCUCUUUUCCUUAAGGUCAUUAGCUGUAAUGCAAAGGAUAAAAAUAAGCAUUAUAGGAGCAAAGACAU